UAUCAAACAGAUGGUGCGCUCCGAGC
This 26-nucleotide non-coding RNA is filed under the name Mus musculus (house mouse). The record is from RNAcentral. Lineage: Eukaryota; Metazoa; Chordata; Mammalia; Rodentia; Muridae.